CCGUGCGGCACUGCACCAGCUGCGGGGUCCUGCACAGGGACAUCAAGCCUCAGAACAUCGUGCUUGACCUGGCCAGCGGGCAGCUGAAACUGAUCGACUUUGGCUGUGGCGCUUUCCUCCAAGACACAGCCUACACCCAGUUUGCAGGUGAGCCCUCGCAGGGGAUGCUCCUGGGCAUCUCAUGGCCCAGCCUGGGUGUAGCACCGGGGCUUCCCCCUACUGCAGCUGGGAUGGGAUUAAUGCUGGACCCAAGUUCAUUUGGUUGGGGUGUGAGGGAGGCCAGCUCCCAGCCCUGCUGACAGCCUUCAGUACCCACUGUGGCCUGGGCUGGGGCUGGAGCUGGUGCAGCCAGCCCGACAAAAACCCCCAUGGGGGUAGUGGAGAGGGGGGUCUGAACCCAUGGCCUGGAUGGUUUGGUGUGCAGGGGAGGAGGGGCUUGGACUGCUCCACUCCCCUUGUUUGCCUUGGCUUAUUAACAUUUUUUGGGGGCCCAUGCAGGCAGAGAGGAGAGUGGGUUUUCUCCACCAGUGGGUGGGUUUUUCCUUUCUGUGUCAUGGUUGGGCCUUCCCAGGGUUUCUGCUGCCCUCUUCCAGCACCAGUGGCUUCUUUUCCAGCCCUGAGUUUGUACACAAGUCCCAGGUGAUGGUGAGAGGGCAGCGGUCACCCCGUGUGUUGCUAGAGCAGCCCCCACAUGCCCAGGGAUGCUGGGGCCAGGCUCUGGGAGCAGCAGCAUCCCCCUGCUGAGCUCUGUCUGUGUUCCACAGGAACCCUGGCCUACAGCCCUCCAGAGUGGACCCAGCACCAAAGCUACCAUGGCGAGGCAGCGACGAUCUGGUCCCUGGGCCUCCUGCUGUACCAGCUGGUUGUGAGGAAGCACCCGUUCAGGAGGGGCCAGGAGAUCAUCUGGGGGCGCAUCUUGUUCCCACCACGGCUCUCUCAAGAAUGCCAAGAUGUCAUUAAGAGGUGUUUGUCCAUGCAACCCUCGGACAGGCCAUCAUUAGAAGAGCUUUUCUGCCAUCCUUGGGUGCAGGGCGCUCCUCGGCCCUAGAAGAUGGGAGAGAUCCAUGUGCACAGUUGGAUCCAGGGGCCUGGCAGGUAGGAGCUCCACACAUUUCUUGGCACUCAGUGGCAAAGCAAACCAGACUGGUUUUGUCCUGCCUGUAGCUCUGAGCAGGGGUCAGCAGAAGGGAACAUGCAGCUCUUGGGCUGGAGCUGAGCUGGAGAUCUGGUGUGGCAAGCACUGGUGGCCACCAUCCCCCCUGGUUUUGCUUGUCUGGUUCAUGGAUGGCUGGGGCCCUGGGCAGAGCCCUGACAGCCUGGUCUGGUCCCAGGGAAGGAGAAGGAGCUCCUGGAGAAGCUGUACCAGGUGGGGCUGCUGCUGGAGACAGCAAGGACAACCUCAAGGACGACAAUCUCUUCCUUGGCCUGGCCAGCUGAAGAUGAUGGACUUGGAUUCUGGCAGCUUCUCUAAAGACACACUCCACACCCAAUUUGCAGCCAGGCUCUGCAGAUGCUGAGGCUGCUCUGGGCUCUGGCAGGGCUCUGCUGGAGCUCAGCACCGGGCUGGCAUCAGCCAAAGAAGAAAUGGUGUCACCUGCAGCACAGACUUGCUUGAGCAUUUUGACAACGCAGCUCAAGUUUGCAGCGUGGACACCUCCAAGGGAAAACAUGACACCUCCCAAAAAUUAAAAUUGUUCAAUACCUUUUGAA
Passer domesticus (house sparrow) is the source of this 1710-nucleotide long non-coding RNA. RefSeq lists it as uncharacterized. The record is from RefSeq and is a predicted model, not a curated record. The transcript is spliced from 3 exons. Lineage: Eukaryota; Metazoa; Chordata; Aves; Passeriformes; Passeridae.